Molecule: ribosomal RNA, 305 nt
Filed under: uncultured bacterium
Lineage: Bacteria
Description: bacterial SSU rRNA
Rfam family: Bacterial small subunit ribosomal RNA
Source: RNAcentral
CUCCUACGGGAGGCAGCAGUGAGGAAUAUUGGUCAAUGGGCGCAAGCCUGAACCAGCCAAGUCGCGUGAAGGAAGACGGCCCUACGGGUUGUAAACCUCUUUUGCCGGGGAGCAAGCCUGAGCACGUGUGCCCAGGCGGAGAGUACCCGGAGAAAAAGCAUCGGCUAACUCCGUGCCAGCAGCCGCGGUAAUACGGAGGAUGCGAGCGUUAUCCGGAUUUAUUGGGUUUAAAGGGUGCGCAGGCGGAGGCACAAGUCAGCGGUAAAAUCGCGGGGCUCAACCCCGCUCCGCCGUUGAAACUGUGU